GCCAGCAGCCGCGGUAAUACGGAGGGUGCAAGCGUUGUCCGGAAUCAUUGGGCGUAAAGGGCGCGUAGGUGGCCCGGUCAGUCUUUGGUGAAAGCGCGGGGCUCAACCCUGCGUCGGCCAGGGAUACUGCCGCGGCUCGAGCACUGUAGAGGCAGGCGGAAUUCCGGGUGUAGCGGUGGAAUGCGUAGAGAUCCGGAAGAACACCGGUGGCGAAGGCGGCCUGCUGGGCAGUAUAGCUGACACUGAGGCGCGACAGCGUGGGGAGCAAACAGGAUUAGAUACCCUGGUAGUCCACGCCGUAAACGAUGGGCACUAGGCGCUUGGGGGAGCGACCCCCCGAGGGCCGGCGCUAACGCAUUAAGUGCCCCGCCUGGGGAGUACGGCCGCAAGGCUGAAACUCAAAGGAAUUGACGGGGGCCCGCACAAG
This 427-nucleotide ribosomal RNA is filed under the name uncultured bacterium. RNAcentral's name for it is "bacterial SSU rRNA". It matches the Rfam family "Bacterial small subunit ribosomal RNA", at positions 507 to 929 of the family's 1533-position model. The record is from RNAcentral.